RNAcentral lists this long non-coding RNA (385 nucleotides) under Heterocephalus glaber (naked mole-rat). Its description in RNAcentral is "lncRNA (ENSHGLG00000041699.1)". The record is from RNAcentral. Lineage: Eukaryota; Metazoa; Chordata; Mammalia; Rodentia; Bathyergidae.
GGGUGUGACAGAGGAAAGAUACUUACCUCAUGGAAGCUGGGGGAGUGGAGAACUGAGGGCCAGCAGAAAGUAGAGGACCAGGGACUGGAUACAGCUCCCAGGAUCAUGCCUCCAUGACUCACUUCCUCCAGGGAGGCCCCUCUUCUCUCAGACCAUUCACCUCAUCAGUGUGAGGUUAACAUCCUCACAAACCAUCAUCUCUCUAGGCAUCUCUUAAUCCAGUCAUGUGAACAAAUUCAACCAAGUGUGGAUCAAAAAUAUUCAAACAAAAUGGCAUCUGUACUGAACUGACUUUUCCUUUGCCAUUAUUCCCUGAAAAAUAAGCUGUAAAAGCUCUUUACAUGGCAUUGACAUUCUAUUUCUGUGCCUUAAGAACAUCCGAACC